GCAGUAGCAGGCGUACUGUCUAGGGGACGGCUGCUCCGCUUUUGCACCCUGCUCUAGGAGGAGGAGGUGGAUGUAGAGUAGGUGGUUGAGGAGAAGAUGGAUGUAGAGUAGGAGGUUGAGGAGGCGGUGACCGUGGCGGCGAUGAAGCAUUCGGAUGUCUGCCCUAUCAACUUUUGAUGUUACUUUCUGCACCUACCAUGGUGACCAUGGGUAAUGGGGAAUCAGGGUUCGAUUCAGGAGAGGGAGCCUGAGAAACAACUACCACAUCCAAGGAAGGCAGCAGGCGUGCAAAUUACCCAUUACCGACGGGGGGAGGUAGUGAC
Pelobates cultripes (western spadefoot toad) is the source of this 323-nucleotide non-coding RNA. NCBI's taxonomy places the organism in Eukaryota, Metazoa, Chordata, Amphibia, Anura, Pelobatidae. The record is from the annotation of a GenBank genome assembly.